This 500-nucleotide ribosomal RNA is filed under the name uncultured bacterium. RNAcentral describes it as "partial 16S ribosomal RNA". It matches the Rfam family "Bacterial small subunit ribosomal RNA", at positions 29 to 523 of the family's 1533-position model. The record is from RNAcentral.
AUUGAACGCUGGCGGCAUGCCUUACACAUGCAAGUCGAACGGCAGCGCGGGGGCAACCCUGGCGGCGAGUGGCGAACGGGUGAGUAAAAUAUCGGAACGUGCCCUAAAGUGGGGGAUAACGUAGCGAGAGUUACGCUAAUACCGCAUAAGAUCUAAGGAUGAAAGCGGGGGAUCGCAAGACCUCGUGCUUUAGGAGUAGCCGAUAACUGAUUAGCUAGUUGGUGGGGUAAAGGCUCACCAAGGCGACGAUCAGUAGCUGGUCUGAGAGGACGACCAGCCACACUGGGACUGAUGCACGGCCCAGACUCCUGCGGGAGGCAGCAGUGGGGAAUUUUGGACAAUGGGGGCAACCCUGAUCCAGCAAUGCCGCGUGUGUGAAGAAGGCCUUCGGGUUGGAAAGCACUUUUGUGCGGGACGAAACGGUUUGGGCUAAUACCCUGAGCUAAUGACGGUACCGAAAGAAUAAGCACCGGCUAACUACGUGCCAGCCGCCGCAGUAA